AUUGAACGCUGGCGGCAGGCCUAACACAUGCAAGUCGAACGGUAACAGGAAGAAGCUUGCUUCUUUGCUGACGAGUGGCGGACGGGUGAGUAAUGUCUGGGAAACUGCCUGAUGGAGGGGGAUAACUACUGGAAACGGUAGCUAAUACCGCAUAACGUCGCAAGACCAAAGAGGGGGACCUUCGGGCCUCUUGCCAUCGGAUGUGCCCAGAUGGGAUUAGCUAGUAGGUGGGGUAACGGCUCACCUAGGCGACGAUCCCUAGCUGGUCUGAGAGGAUGACCAGCCACACUGGAACUGAGACACGGUCCAGACUCCUACGGGAGGCAGCAGUGGGGAAUAUUGCACAAUGGGCGCAAGCCUGAUGCAGCCAUGCCCCGUGUAUGAAGAAGGCCUUCGGGUUGUAAAGUACUUUCAGCGGGGAGGAAGGGAGUAAAGUUAAUACCUUUGCUCAUUGACGUUACCCGCAGAAGAAGCACCGGCUAACUCCGUG
RNAcentral lists this ribosomal RNA (490 nucleotides) under uncultured bacterium. RNAcentral's name for it is "partial 16S ribosomal RNA". It matches the Rfam family "Bacterial small subunit ribosomal RNA", at positions 30 to 507 of the family's 1533-position model. The record is from RNAcentral.